UACGUAGGGUGCGAGCGUUAAUCGGAAUUACUGGGCGUAAAGCGUGCGUAGGCGGUCUCGCAAGCUGGGUGUGAAAUCCCCGGGCUCAACCUGGGAAUGGCAUUCAGGACUGCGAGGCUGGAGUGCGGCAGAGGGAGGUGGAAUUCCACGUGUAGCAGUGAAAUGCGUAGAGAUGUGGAGGAACACCGAUGGCGAAGGCAGCCUCCUGGGCCGACACUGACGCUCAAGCACGAAAGCGUGGGGAGCAAACAGG
Molecule: ribosomal RNA, 253 nt
Filed under: uncultured bacterium
Lineage: Bacteria
Also listed under: 1 other name
Description: partial 16S ribosomal RNA
Rfam family: Bacterial small subunit ribosomal RNA
Source: RNAcentral